This 3585-nucleotide unclassified non-coding RNA is filed under the name Hevea brasiliensis (rubber tree). Lineage: Eukaryota; Viridiplantae; Streptophyta; Magnoliopsida; Malpighiales; Euphorbiaceae. The record is from RNAcentral.
GGAAAAGGAGAAAAAUUUUCAAAGCGAAGAAAUUAUUUAAUCUAAUUAUGCUUCUACUGAAUUAAAGGAAAACAGAAUCGAAAAAAAGAAAGAAGCUGUUUCAAUAAAAGAAAAGAGAGAAGAAAGGGAAGAAGAAGAUGUUGUGGAGGAGAUGAUCAGAGAAGACUGAAUGGCACCAUUUUUAAUGGAGGAUAAUGUCAGCAAGCACUUUGACAAAAGUUAGAGAAAGAAAGAAAGAUGAUAGAGAAAAAGGAAGGAGAGGAGAGGAGAGAGAAAACAUAAACCAAACAAUUUCCUGCCAAUCCAAUCGAUGGGAACACUAAAAAAUCCUUCCAUUGACCUCGCGAUGUCACCUGCUUCAAGAAAUAGCCAUCGGUUUCCUUCAAAAUAUAGUAGAGUAAGAUCGAGAACUGUGGAUGUGUAAUAAGUUCCUAAUGAAGUAGAACUCCCAAUAUUUUCAGUUCUGAACAGUCACCAAUGAUGGGUUAGUGGAUUUUAUUUAUUUAUUUAUUUCGUUUAUAGCUUUCUUUGGUUCAAAGCUGUGGAAUUUGAUUCCAAUUUUUAUAUUUUUUUUAAGAAUGAAGAUAGCAUGAAUUCUUUUGGCAUCAGUCUAGUAUAAGCAUAAAGGAUAUGCUUUGUAGCCUAAUGACGAUUAUAUUUCAACAUUAGAUAGAGAGAGAGAUUGAGUACCUAAUAAUUCUGCUUGCUGUCAAAAGCCAUAAUGGCACCUCCACUUUAGAGAACCCCAAUUUGCUUAUUCUUGACCUGCUUUUCCCUCUCUUUGCUUUGUGGGCAUUUAAAUACGGCCUUUUUACCAUUUUUCCUAUAAUAUAUUGUUACCUUGUGACUUCUUUUGCUUUCUUGGAACAACCAGCUGCUUCUUCUCUCUCACCAACUACUAUGAAAGAUUCACUGGGUAUGUCUUUCUCUGUCUCAUUUUCUUUUUCUUAUUCUGUAUUUUUAUCCCUUUUCUUAUUAUUUUGUUGAAUCAACCAGCUUCUGUAAAACCCAUGGUUGGGAAUUGAAAAAUAUGUGAACAAAUGCCUGAAAGCUUCUGGGUAUACAAGAUAACCUUGAAGCUUUAAUCUUUGCUGUUUAACUCAUGUUCAGUUAGUGUCUUAACCCAUACAGAUUAAGCUUCCUGUAUUAUUUAUCAGUUAUGAUUCUUGACUUUGUUUUGUUUGCCGUAUCUUUGGUAAAAGGUCAUUUUCGAAUUCCUUAUGUUUCUAAAAUAUUAAUAUAUAUUUAUUUAUCUGGGGAAUAUGGUGAAACUACUGGAAUGGUUUUUCUCUUAUGUUAUUUGAAUAGAGCCUCCAGAAUUUCUUCUAUUUUAGAGGAUUUCUGGUUUCUAUUGCAAAUGCUUAAUCUAAUUGAUGUAGAACAGUGAAAGUAGUUUUAAAGAAACCCAUGGCAGCAUUAUGACCUUGCUGGACUGUUGUAAAGCCCAUUAUAGUUCCAUGCGUUACACCACAAAAUUGCUCCUUAACUAGUUAUAUGACGUUAUUCCCUUCUUGAUGAAUAAUAAAUCUUGGGUUUAGAGUGGCUAGACUUAGAACGUAGGCGAUAGAAUUGAUUGUCCAAAUUUAACAAGUUAUUCCAAGGAUUAUUUCCUUAUAGAUUACAUUUUGGUUUUGGAAAGAACAAGAGGACGGAACUCAAGGAGGGAUUUUUUUUUUUUUAAUGGAAUUUUACUUCACUUCCUUUUUCUUAAUGUUUGAAGGUUCAGAUAAUGCAUGUUUGGUGCCAUGGGUUAAUUCUUGGGCACUUUAGUGUAUCGAGGUACAUAAGAGCACACACUAGAUUGAUUAGAUAAUAUCCUCAUGUAUGAAUAAAAGGAAUAAGCUCAAGGAAGGAAUUCUUUUUGCGGUAUUUUCUUUCAUUUCCUUUUCCUUGUUCAUUACUAUAUGCAAAAAUUGCUGUUGGAAGUUGGAUUCUUUGCAUUAAUUCUAGAGCACCCUAAGAACAUGGGACUACUUGAGAAUUAAUGCUAGAUUGAUUAGCAAAUAGGUGAAAUUUAUUCCAGAUUCUUUGGAUUUAUUGUAGAGCACUCUGAGACCAUUGGACUGUUUGAGACGAAUGCUGGGCUUAAUGGACAAUAUUCUCAUAUAUGAAUUAAUUUAGUGGAAACUACUUCAAUAGUUAUAAAGAAUUUUCCAGUAUUUUUUUAUUGUUUAUCAACAUAAAUGAUAUAGAUAUUUACUCUUAUAUAUAUAUUUAGCAUAUAUUAAUGGACAAAAUUUACCAUGCCAUGGAACAAUGUAAAUGCAUACAUAUCUUCUCUCUUUUGCUGAGCCUAUAUUUGAUUCAUCCUUGUGUCCUUUUUAAGGCACAUCUCACUCUUGCCCUUCUCUGAAGUCAUUGUCAUCCAAAGUAGGAGAGUUGUUUUGCCAUUGUGGUUCACAAAACAAAUACAAGAGGCUAGAUGCAAAGCUUGAAAAGAAGAUGAUUGAAGUAAAGAGAAGUUCAUCAGGGCAUGCAAAUUUUAAAUCUAUUAACAGUAUAAUCUUGAGGUUUCCUCGGUUCAAAGAGGGACUGAAAAACAUCAGAGGCGUAUUUGAACAAUAUGGUUAGUUUCCACCAGGUUUCUUUUCUAUAGCCUGAGAUAUUAUGGUGGAUAUACUGCAUAUCUACUCUCAUUAAUUCCAUCUGAUAGAUGAAGAUGCAAAUGGUGCUAUUGACCGUGAGGAACUCAAGAGAUGCUUACAGAAACUACAACUCAAUCUGAAAGAACAGGAGGUUGAGGAUUUGUUUCAUUCCUGUGAUAUUGAUGGGAGCCAGGGGAUACAAUUCAAUGAGUUCAUUGUUCUUCUGUGUCUCAUCUAUCUCCUAGUGGAACAUUCCUCCUCCCCUCAUAAUGUAUCCAGGAUAAACUCAAACUUUGUCUUAUUGAAUCUUUCUAUUAUUGAAGGGAUUAACUGUUUGCAUUGCUGUUCCAUAUAUUUGAUGGCCUAUGGAUUUCUUUCAGACAUCAAAGAUGGGUUCACCAGAGCUUGAGGCCACUUUUGAUACUUUGGUUGAAGCAUUCUUGUUUCUUGACAAGAAUGGUGAUGGAAAGUUAAACAAGAAAGAUGUGCUCAAAGCUUUGAAUGAGGAUUCCCCUUGGGAGAAAUCACCUGCGCACAUCACCAAGUCCCGAUUCAGUAUUAAUCUUCUUUACAUGCUAUAAUUCUAUGUCUAAUUUUGUACUGAUAGCAAGUUAUUUUAACCAUCUUCUGGUGAUUCCUGUGAACAAAUGCAGGGGAAAUGGAUUGGGACAGGAAUGGGAAGGUCAGCUUCAGAGAGUUCCUCUUUGCUUUAAUAAAUUGGGUUGGGAUUGAUGCUGAUGAGGAAAUUCCUGCAAUGGGAAGUUAAAACUAAGUGCAGGAAAUUCAAACAAAUGUGAUGGAUAAUAGUCCAACAUGAUGUCUGAUCAAAGAAUUUAUGUAAAUACCUGAAAAAUUCUAGUCUAAUAUUCAGAACUGUUGUUUGUUUGUCAUGUUCAUGUAUUUUAUAUUGUUUCCUUUCAAAAUAAAAGUUCUGAUCAAUAUGAAUCAAAUUUGAUAAGUAGUGACAUUAUCUCAUUUCUUCCUUAUGAGAGAAGGAUGC